Molecule: ribosomal RNA, 393 nt
Filed under: uncultured bacterium
Lineage: Bacteria
Description: partial 16S ribosomal RNA
Rfam family: Bacterial small subunit ribosomal RNA
Source: RNAcentral
AUACGGAGGACGCGAGCGUUAUCCGGAUUCAUUGGGUUUAAAGGGUGCGCAGGCGGCCGUGCAAGUCAGCGGUGAAAGCCCGGGGCUCAACCCCGGAAGUGCCGUUGAUACUGCGUGGCUGGAAUGCGGUCGAGGCGGGCGGAAAGGGGCGGGUAGCGGGGAAAUGCGUGGAUAUGCCACAGAACGCCGAUAGCGGAGGCAGCUCGCGAGGCCUGCAUUGACGCUCGGGCACGAAAGCGUGGGGAUCGAACAGGAUUAGAUACCCUGGUAGUCCACGCCGUAAACGAUGGGCGCUCGUCGUCGGCGACAGACAGUCGGCGGCCAAGCGAAAGCGAUAAGCGCCCCACCUGGGGAGUACGGUCGCAAGGCUGAAACUCAAAGGAAUUGGCGGGG